CAGUAGCCACGGGAAUACGUAGGGUGCAAGCAUUAAUCGGAAUUACUGGGCGUAAAGCGUGCGCAGGCGGUGUUGUAAGACUGAUGUGAAAUCCCCGGGCUCAACCUGGGAACUGCAUUGGUGACUGCAACGCUGGAGUGCGGCAGAGGGGGAUGGAAUUCCGCGUGUAGCAGUGAAAUGCAUAGAUAUGCGGAGGAACACCGAUGGCGAAGGCAAUCCCCUGGGCCUGCACUGACGCUCAUGCACGAAAGCGUGGGGAGCAAACAGGAUUAGAUACCCCGGUAGUCCCUGUCUCUUAUAC
This 301-nucleotide ribosomal RNA is filed under the name uncultured bacterium. RNAcentral describes it as "partial 16S ribosomal RNA". It matches the Rfam family "Bacterial small subunit ribosomal RNA", at positions 509 to 807 of the family's 1533-position model. The record is from RNAcentral.